AACAUUGACAGUACAGCCAAGCCUUCAUAUUCCAUUAUUAUUAAACUAUGCUUCACCAGUUUGGAAGAGCUUAUUUUACAGCUUCAGAUGAGAUGUCAUAACAACAAGCACUUGUUUCAAAGAACUUUGCAGAGCUGGAUAAGUAUCAUUAUCCCCAUUUUCCAAAGGGCUGAUAGUAAGUAUGCUUUAGCUCACAAAGCAAGCAACUGUUAGAGCCUGAAUCAGAACCCAGGUAUCUGGACUUUCAGUCUGGUGCCCUAUCAGUUGGGAUAGGUUCCCGCACCAUGGAGCCAUAAUAAGAAAUCUGUACUCUCUUUUCCCUUCCUUGUCUGGUUUCUCAUUUCUUUCCUUGGAUUACUCUCAUUGUUUCUUGAGCUUCUUGCCUUCAAAGCGUCCCAGAUCUAACUGCCUGCCCUUACUCUAGCAUUUAAAUAAAUAAUUCUCCACUAUACAGAAUUACGCUAUAGGACUUCAAUGCCUUCUAAAGGGGACCCAUAACAGAUUAAAAUGGACUUGUGACUUUGAUAUUUAAAGGCAUGAAAGAUCAGGUUGUUUGUUUGUUUGUUUGUUUGUUUGUUUUAAACUGGCAUGUUCUGCUUUUUUACAUUACAAAUUCAAGUCCUUUUUUAGCCUGAAAGACAAAAUAGUAACAUCACAAGAGUUAAGAAAAUGUAAGCUGAGUAACUGUGGGGAGAAGAGAGUUUUAAUCAGGUUGUUUAAAUGUUUGGAGUUCUGAUGUCUGAGAGCUAACAACUUAUAUACUCUGUGACACUCAAGUUCUCCAG
Long non-coding RNA from Chelonoidis abingdonii (Abingdon island giant tortoise), 785 nucleotides. RefSeq lists it as uncharacterized. NCBI's taxonomy places the organism in Eukaryota, Metazoa, Chordata, Testudines, Testudinidae. The record is from RefSeq and is a predicted model, not a curated record.